Molecule: microRNA precursor, 159 nt
Filed under: Pelobates cultripes (western spadefoot toad)
Lineage: Eukaryota; Metazoa; Chordata; Amphibia; Anura; Pelobatidae
Source: RNAcentral
GCUGACACAUCCCUGCCAAUCUCCGGCAGACCUUCCCCCCCAGACCCUCCCACCUCCUGGACAGCUUCCAUGUUGAAGUUGCCUUAAACAUGGAUGCUGUCCAGGAAGUAGGAGGGUCUGGGAGGGAGGGUCUGCCGGAGAUUGGCAGGGAUGUGUCAG